AGUGGCGGACGGGUGAGUAACGCGUGAGAAUCUGCCUUCAGGUCGGGGACAACAGAGGGAAACUUCUGCUAAUCCCGGAUGAGCCUUAGGGUAAAAAAUUUAUUGCCUGGAGAUGAGCUCGCGUCUGAUUAGCUAGUUGGUAAGGUAAAAGCUUACCAAGGCAACGAUCAGUAGCUGGUCUGAGAGGAUGAGCAGCCACACUGGGACUGAGACACGGCCCAGACUCCUACGGGAGGCAGCAGUGGGGAAUUUUCCGCAAUGGGCGAAAGCCUGACGGAGCAAGACCGCGUGGGGGAGGAAGGCUCUAGGGUUGUAAACCCCUUUUCUUUGGGAAGAACAAAAUGACGGUACCAAAGGAAUCAGCCUCGGCUAACUCCGUGCCAGCAGCCGCGGUAAUACGGAGGAGGCAAGCGUUAUCCGGAAUGAUUGGGCGUAAAGCGUCCGCAGGUGGCAAUUUAAGUCUGCUGUCAAAACCCAGGGCUCAACUCUGGUCAGGCAGUGGAAACUACAUAGCUAGAGUUCGGUAGGGGCAAAGGGAAUUCCCGGUGUAGCGGUGAAAUGCGUAGAGAUCGGGAAGAACAUCGGUGGCGAAAGCGCUUUGCUAGACCGAAACUGACACUCAGGGACGAAAGCUAGGGGAGCGAAUGGGAUUAGAUACCCC
This 661-nucleotide ribosomal RNA is filed under the name uncultured bacterium. RNAcentral describes it as "bacterial SSU rRNA". It matches the Rfam family "Bacterial small subunit ribosomal RNA", at positions 94 to 788 of the family's 1533-position model. The record is from RNAcentral.